GACGAACGCUGGCGGCGUGCUUAACACAUGCAAGUCGAACGGAAAGGCCCUGCUUUUGUGGGGUGCUCGAGUGGCGAACGGGUGAGUAACACGUGAGUAACCUGCCCUUGACUUUGGGAUAACUUCAGGAAACUGGGGCUAAUACCGGAUAGGAGCUCCUGCUGCAUGGUGGGGGUUGGAAAGUUUCGGCGGUUGGGGAUGGACUCGCGGCUUAUCAGCUUGUUGGUGGGGUAGUCGCUUACCAAGGCUGUCACGGGUAGCCGGCCUGAGGGGGUGACCGGAAAGGUGGGGAAGGGAACACGGCCCAGUUGCCGGGGGGGGGGCGAUGUGGGGAAAAUGCGAGGGAGGGCGGAAGCUGGUGGGACCACAGCCGGGCGGGGGGGAAAGGCGUGCGGGUGAUAAGGCGAUGGCGCGUGUGACAGAGCGGAGGUGGCAGUAAUGGCAAAAGAAGCACGGGCUAGCCACAG
This 467-nucleotide ribosomal RNA is filed under the name uncultured bacterium. RNAcentral describes it as "partial 16S ribosomal RNA". The stretch from base 20 to 330 matches the Rfam family "Bacterial small subunit ribosomal RNA", at positions 47 to 358 of the family's 1533-position model. The record is from RNAcentral.